Molecule: unclassified non-coding RNA, 354 nt
Filed under: soil metagenome
Description: partial contains 5.8S ribosomal RNA, internal transcribed spacer 2, and large subunit ribosomal RNA
Rfam family: 5.8S ribosomal RNA (bases 1-120)
Source: RNAcentral
GAUGAAGAACGUAGCGAAAUGCGAUAACUAAUGUGAAUUGCAGAAUUCAGUGAAUCAUCGAGUCUUUGAACGCACAUUGCGCCCGCCAGUAUUCUGGCGGGCAUGCCUGUCCGAGCGUCAUUUCAACCCUCGAACCCCUCCGGGGGGUCGGCGUUGGGGAUCGGCCCUCCCUUAGCGGGUGGCCGUCUCCGAAAUACAGUGGCGGUCUCGCCGCAGCCUCUCCUGCGCAGUAGUUUGCACACUCGCAUCGGGAGCGCGGCGCGUCCACAGCCGUUAAACACCCAACUUCUGAAAUGUUGACCUCGGAUCAGGUAGGAAUACCCGCUGAACUUAAGCAUAUCAAUAAGCGGAGGA